CCUACGGGAGGCUGCAGUGGGGAAUAUUGCGCAAUGGGCGAAAGCCUGACGCAGCGACGCCGCGUGAGGGAUGAAGGUCUUCGGAUCGUAAACCUCUGUCAGCAGGGAAGAACGGUCACUGUGCUAAUCAGCAGUGAAUUGACGGUACCUGCAAAGGAAGCACCGGCUAACUCCGUGCCAGCAGCCGCGGUAAUACGGAGGGUGCGAGCGUUAAUAGGAAUUACUGGGCGUAAAGCGCUCGUAGGCGGUAUGGCAAGUCAAGGGUGAAAUCCCCGCGCUCAACGUGGGAACUGCCUUUGAAACUGGCAAACUGGAGUGUGUGAGAGGAAAGUGGAAUUCCAGGUGUAGGAGUGAAAUCCGUAGAUAUCAGGAGGAACAUCAGUGGCGAAGGCGACUAUCUGGAACAUAACUGACGCUGAGGAGCGAAAGCGUGGGUAGCAAACAGGAUUAGAUACCCCAGUAGUC
This 465-nucleotide ribosomal RNA is filed under the name uncultured bacterium. RNAcentral describes it as "partial 16S ribosomal RNA". It matches the Rfam family "Bacterial small subunit ribosomal RNA", at positions 338 to 795 of the family's 1533-position model. The record is from RNAcentral.